GCAAGGCCGAAAUCUCCCAAUCUGGCAUUCAUUUCAUUAUCUAAGAGUACAUUAGCAGGCUUGAUGUCUCUGUGAAUGAUUACUUGAACCCAUUGUUGAUGCAAAUAGAAGAUCGCAGAUGCCACAUCUUUGAUGAUCUUGAAUCUUUGAUUCCAAUUUAGUAUGCUAUUGGGUUGGCCAUAAAGGAACCUGUCAAGGCUUCCAUUGGCCAUAUAGUCAUAAACCAGAAAGAGUUCCUCCUUGCGCCUACAAUAGCCAAGCAGGCGAACCAAAUUUGGGUGCCUGAGACGGCCAAUUGUUGCUAUUUCAGCUAUGAAUUCUCUCACUCCUUGUCCAGACUCCUGAGAAAAUCUCU
RNAcentral lists this unclassified non-coding RNA (355 nucleotides) under Hevea brasiliensis (rubber tree). The record is from RNAcentral. Lineage: Eukaryota; Viridiplantae; Streptophyta; Magnoliopsida; Malpighiales; Euphorbiaceae.